GGUUUGAUCAUGGCUCAGAUUGAACGCUGGCGGCAUGCCUUACACAUGCAAGUCGAACGGUAACGGGUCCUUCGGGAGUGCCGACGAGUGGCGAACGGGUGAGUAAUAUAUCGGAACGUGCCCAGUAGUGGGGAGUAACUGCUCGAAAGAGCAGCUAAUACCGCAUACGACCUGAGGGUGAAAGGGGGGAGUCGCAAGACCUCUCGCUAUUGGAGCGGCCGAUAUCAGAUUAGCUAGUUGGUGGGGUAAAGGCCUACCAAGGCAACGAUCUGUAGUUGGUCUGAGAGGACGACCAGCCACACUGGGACUGAGACACGGCCCAGACUCCUACGGGAGGCAGCAGUGGGGAAGUUUUGGACAAUGGGC
RNAcentral lists this ribosomal RNA (366 nucleotides) under uncultured microorganism. RNAcentral describes it as "bacterial SSU rRNA". It matches the Rfam family "Bacterial small subunit ribosomal RNA", at positions 10 to 376 of the family's 1533-position model. The record is from RNAcentral.